Ostrinia nubilalis (European corn borer) is the source of this 212-nucleotide long non-coding RNA. RefSeq lists it as uncharacterized. The record is from RefSeq and is a predicted model, not a curated record. The transcript is spliced from 4 exons. NCBI's taxonomy places the organism in Eukaryota, Metazoa, Arthropoda, Insecta, Lepidoptera, Crambidae.
AAACUUUCGUAAAGUGUAGUUCAGUGUACAAGUGAGUUUGUGAUUCUUGUUUUGCAAUGUGAAGUUUUUUUGAGGUUUACACAUCAUUAGCAGUUAAGCAGACAAAAAAGAAAGAACCUGGAUUUUUCACAGGAGAUAUUUUAGAGAUUAAAAUGACCGUGCGCUCAACGACAUGGAGCAAGCAUUCGUCGAAGAUGGCAUGAGACAUCGUC